UACGGGGGGGGCAAGCGUUGUUCGGAAUUACUGGGCGUAAAGGGCUCGUAGGCGGCCAACUAAGUCAGACGUGAAAUCCCUCGGCUUAACCGGGGAACUGCGUCUGAUACUGGAUGGCUUGAGGUAGGGAGAGGGAUGCGGAAUUCCAGGUGUAGCGGUGAAAUGCGCAGAUAUCAGGAGGAACACCGGUGGCGAAGGCGGUUCUCUGGGCAUUACCUGACGCUGAGGAGCGAAAGUGUGGGGAGCGAACAGG
Molecule: ribosomal RNA, 253 nt
Filed under: uncultured bacterium
Lineage: Bacteria
Description: partial 16S ribosomal RNA
Rfam family: Bacterial small subunit ribosomal RNA
Source: RNAcentral